CCUACGGGAGGCAGCAGUGGGGAAUCUUGCACAAUGGGGGAAACCCUGAUGCAGCGACGCCGCGUGAGCGAUGAAGCCCUUCGGGGUGUAAAGCUCUUUCGGCAGGGAAGAUGAUGACGGUACCUGCAGAAGCAGCUGCGGCUAACUACGUGCCAGCAGCCGCGGUAAUACGUAGGCAGCAAGCGUUGUUCGGAGUUACUGGGCGUAAAGGGUGUGUAGGCGGCUUUUUAAGUUUGGUGUGAAAUCUCCCGGCUCAACUGGGAGGGUGCGCCGAAUACUGAGGAGCUCGAGUGCGGGAGAGGAGAGUGGAAUUCCUGGUGUAGCGGUGAAAUGCGUAGAUAUCAGGAGGAACACCGGUGGUGUAGACGGCUCUCUGGACCGUAACUGACGCUGAGACACGAAAGCGUGGGUAGCAAACAGGAUUAGAUACCCUGGUAGUCCACGCCCUAAACGAUGCACAUUUGGUGUGGGCAGUUCAUUCUGUCCGUGCCGGAGCUAACGCGCUAAGUACCCCGCCUGGGAAGUACGGUCGCAAGACUAAAACUCAAAGGAAUUGACGG
Molecule: ribosomal RNA, 560 nt
Filed under: uncultured bacterium
Lineage: Bacteria
Description: bacterial SSU rRNA
Rfam family: Bacterial small subunit ribosomal RNA
Source: RNAcentral